GAUAACUUAACAUGGAUUCACUAAAACUUGAGUUGUUAUUACCUUUCAUCUGAUUUUAAGAACUGGAGUGACAGCAGACGAGACUGUGAAGAGAGAGGAGCAAAUCUGCUGAUUAUAAACAAUAAAGAGGAACAAGAGUUUUUGCUGAAAUCUACAUCUGGUUAUUAUUAUUGGAUUGGUCUGAGUAAAGAGAGAGGGGUGUGGAAAUGGGUUGAUGGCACCACAUUGACACUAAGUCUCUGGAUAAAUGGAUACACCGGAUCUUACAGUAAUAGCUGUGCUGUAAUAUCUACACCUAAAUGGGCUAAUCAUACAUGUCAUAGGACACACAGAUGGAUCUGUGAGAAGAGAAUUUUACAGUGAAAUAAACUCAUGAAGUAUUACACCAGCACCAGUUUUUUAGUAAUUGUGUUUACUAAUUUAAUGUUGUUAUCCAGUAAAUUAUUGUAAAGAAUUAUUCUGUAAAGUCAAAUUUAUAUGUUUAUAUCAGGGGUGUUUCCUCCGAGGAGGCAAGGGAGGCAGUGCCACCUCAAAAAAGUGAAUAAGAAAAUG
Paramisgurnus dabryanus is the source of this 552-nucleotide non-coding RNA. The record is from RefSeq and is a predicted model, not a curated record. NCBI's taxonomy places the organism in Eukaryota, Metazoa, Chordata, Actinopteri, Cypriniformes, Cobitidae.